AGAGUUUGAUCAUGGCUCAGAUUGAACGCUGGCGGCAGGCCUAACACAUGCAAGUCGAACGGUAACAGGAAUCAGCUUGCUGAUUCGCUGACGAGUGGCGGACGGGUGAGUAAUGUCUGGGAAACUGCCUGAUGGAGGGGGAUAACUACUGGAAACGGUAGCUAAUACCGCAUAAUGUCGCAAGACCAAAGAGGGGGACCUUCGGGCCUCUUGCCAUCGGAUGUGCCCAGAUGGGAUUAGCUAGUAGGUGGGGUAACGGCUCACCAAGGCGACGAUCCCUAGCUGGUCUGAGAGGAUGACCAGCCACACUGGAACUGAGACACGGUCCAGACUCCUACGGGAGGCAGCAGUGGGGAAUAUUGCACAAUGGGCGCAAGCCUGAUGCAGCCAUGCCGCGUGUAUGAAGAAGGCCUUCGGGUUGUAAAGUACUUUCAGCGGGGAGGAAGGGAGUAAAGUUAAUACCUUUGCUCAUUGACGUUAUCCGCAGAAGAAGCACCGGCUAACUCCGUGCCAGCAGCCGCGGUAAUACGGAGGGUGCAAGCGUUAAUCGGAAUUACUGGGCGUAAAGCGCACGCAGGCGGUUUGUUAAGUCAGAUGUGAAAUCCCCGGGCUCAACCUGGGAACUGCAUCUGAUACUGGCAAGCUUGAGUCUCGUAGAGGGGGGUAGAAUUCCAGGUGUAGCGGUGAAAUGCGUAGAGAUCUGGAGGAAUACCGGUGGCGAAGGCGGCCCCCUGGACGAAGACUGACGCUCAGGUGCGAAAGCGUGGGGAGCAAACAGGAUUAGAUACCCUGGUAGUCCACGCCGUAAACGAUGUCGACUUGGAGGUUGUGCCCUUGAGGCGUGGCUUCCGGAGCUAACGCGUUAAGUCGACCGCCUGGGGAGUACGGCCGCAAGGUUAAAACUCAAAUGAAUUGACGGGGGCCCGCACAAGCGGUGGAGCAUGUGGUUUAAUUCGAUGCAACGCGAAGAACCUUACCUGGUCUUGACAUCCACGGAAGUUUUCAGAGAUGAGAAUGUGCCUUCGGGAACCGUGAGACAGGUGCUGCAUGGCUGUCGUCAGCUCGUGUUGUGAAAUGUUGGGUUAAGUCCCGCAACGAGCGCAACCCUUAUCCUUUGUUGCCAGCGGUCCGGCCGGGAACUCAAAGGAGACUGCCAGUGAUAAACUGGAGGAAGGUGGGGACGACGUCAAGUCAUCAUGGCCCUUACGACCAGGGCUACACACGUGCUACAAUGGCGCAUACAAAGAGAAGCGACCUCGCGAGAGCAAGCGGACCUCAUAAAGUGCGUCGUAGUCCGGAUUGGAGUCUGCAACUCGACUCCAUGAAGUCGGAAUCGCUAGUAAUCGUGGAUCAGAAUGCCACGGUGAAUACGUUCCCGGGCCUUGUACACACCGCCCGUCACACCAUGGGAGUGGGUUGCAAAAGAAGUAGGUAGCUUAACCUUCGGGAGGGCGCUUACCACUUUGUGAUUCAUGACUGGGGUGAAGUCGUAACAAGGUAACCGUAGGGGAACCUGCGGUUG
RNAcentral lists this ribosomal RNA (1522 nucleotides) under Shigella boydii S6614. Its description in RNAcentral is "bacterial SSU rRNA". It matches the Rfam family "Bacterial small subunit ribosomal RNA". RNAcentral also lists the same sequence under 1 other name. The record is from RNAcentral. Lineage: Bacteria; Pseudomonadati; Pseudomonadota; Gammaproteobacteria; Enterobacterales; Enterobacteriaceae.